This 442-nucleotide long non-coding RNA is filed under the name Nicotiana benthamiana. Its description in RNAcentral is "long non-coding RNA (NBEN_LNC012227)". Lineage: Eukaryota; Viridiplantae; Streptophyta; Magnoliopsida; Solanales; Solanaceae. The record is from RNAcentral.
AACAUCAAAAAAGUUGAAAGAUUUACCUACUGCUGACACCAAAUACCGGAAAUAGAUAGGUUCCAGAGGCUGUAGGAAAUAGUCAACCAUCUCAUUCUCCUUCAUUGGUGGCUGCUUGUUCUCUUCACCGGAAACCGUAUUCCCUGAAACUCUCGUUGUGUUUCUUCUCCAAUUUUGUCAACGAUAGUCGAUCCGGGACAAUUUCGAGGUUAUGUCGAAAGUGACAGGCAAACGCUUAUACAAGUCAUCCUAAGUAUACCAACGAUUAUGAUGCUGCCGAGUGUACCACUCCAGUGCCAACCCACUUAAACUCUGGAUAAAUUAUGCCAUUAGCAAUUCAUAUUUUCCCCCUGCUCCUCUCAUUUUGAUGCAAAACCUUCUUAGAUGCGCAACCAGAUCGUCAUGUCCAUCAUAUAAGUCAAAUUUAGGCAUAUUGAAACCC